Long non-coding RNA from Capsicum annuum, 2054 nucleotides. RefSeq lists it as uncharacterized. The record is from RefSeq and is a predicted model, not a curated record. Lineage: Eukaryota; Viridiplantae; Streptophyta; Magnoliopsida; Solanales; Solanaceae. The transcript is spliced from 2 exons.
UACUAGAUUUUGAACUAACUAAAUUAGUGUGGACGUGAUAGAAUUUCGAAUAUGAAUUCAUAACGUUCAAAAUUGGAUCCAUCUUUGGCCCUGAGACAUGUGGCCUGAUGGAAAAUUUUUCUUUGCCAGAUGAGCAAUACCAAGUGUCAAUUCUUCAACCCUCAUAGGGAAAAGUUCUUUAAAGUACCCAAAACAAAGAAAAAGAGUGCAAGAUAUGGUGCUGGUUUUCUCUAUAUUCAUAAAGCAGAGAUUUAAGUUUUACUGCUAAAUGUGAAGAUGCAAAUACAAUAUUAAGUUCUUUUUAAAAUAAGAAGUAUAUAGAGAUAAGCAUCCAGUCAGGGCGAUUCAAACACAUUGAUGUCCUAAGGCGAAAAUCAAACGGAAGUAAAAAAUAUUUUUAUUAAUAAAGUCUAUAUUUUAAAUUUUGAGAUGCAAAGUUAUAAAUAUUAUUAUAUAAUUCGUUUAAUAAUUUUUUUCGUUGAUAUAACUAAUGCAUUUAAUCUUUAUUGAGACAUACUUUAAAUACAUCAGAAUUCUCCUAAUAAUUCUUUACUUUUAUAUAAGAAGUUUAUUUUUACUAUAAAUAAUAUUUAAUAAUUUUUUAAUAAUAACCUAUAAUCUAUUAUGGCUAAAAAAAAUGAGGCGCUUUAAAUUUGGAGCCUUAGGCAGUUGCCUUUUUCUUUAUUAGGUAGAGCCGCCCCUGCAUCCAGUAUUCCUGAACUAUGUCCUAAGUUGUUACGACACAUUCUAAUUUUACGGGAGUCCUAUUACCCUCUGAACUCAAUUUUAGCACAUUUUUGUAAGCCUUUUGUGUUGAUGUACACUAAAAUUAAAGUUGGAGUGUGUUAUAACAAAUUUGGUCAAAGUUCAUAGGUACUAGAUGCUUUACGCAAGUAUAUAUGUUGCCGGAAGAAUAUCUUUAAAAAUAAAAAUAAAAGAACAUGUCUAGAAAACAAAAUAGACUAGAUUUAAAUGCGACUAGCAAGAAUGUGUCUGAUUAGAUUAUCCCGCCAUCUAAAAUGAGCAAAAUGUUGUUAUAUAUUUGAGUAGAUGCACCUUCACACUGAACUGCACCCUGUGUAUAUGUUUAAUUUGGAAACCAAAAGGAGUACAAAAUUAAAAAUGCUGUGGCUCAGCCCUGACCAUGUUGGUUUCCUCUUCUUGUGACUCGAAUGUAACAAAAAAUGGAAGCAAUAAGAGCGGUGGCAAAGCCGCCAAGGAUCACGUCUCCACCAACAACGGACUUGUUGAAAGAGUGAUGAGUCCUGACAUGUGUGACUGCUGGAGCUUGAUCACCUCUUCCUGGCGCAGAACUUGGGACUGAUGUCGAGGUGUCUAAUUUUCUAAGCGCGUUAACUUUUUGCAUAAGCAAAAUUUGAGCUACAACUAGGCAAAUGAGGAGAAACCUAAGCCUAGCCAUGGAAAUAUGAAUAUUGAUUCAAUUGUGCACGCGUUAAAGUCCUAGUACUAAUAUAGACUUGAGAGAAUCGUUUUCAUGUUUAUUUUAUAAGACCGGCAGGUACACUUCCAUCGUCUUAAAUUAUGAAUAUUUGACUCUGAUUUGAUUUUUCAAGUAGUCUUUUCUUCUUCUUCUUCUUUUUUUUUUGUGUUUGUUGAACCAGUCGGAGGAAGUUUUAACACGGGCAGGCUAUGCUUGAGGCAGGUUUAUUUUUGGCAGUUCAUUGAGGAUGACAGCGGUCAAAGAACAGAGAAGAAAACAAGAAAGACAGUGUAACAAAUGUCUUGCUGUAUUAUAUAUAGAUGCAGUAACAAGCAGAGCUCCUCUGGAGGCAGUGACACUGGUGUCAUUAAGAUCAAAUCCAAGAACAUUCAUUGUCUCCAUUAGUUUAGUAAAUCCACCUCUUUUCUUCUGGCAGACUAUUUUUAUCCAAAGCUUAGUUGGACCAAUGUGAGCCACUUGAACUUCAGGCUGUUUUAAAAAGACAAAAAAAUAAAAGUUGCUUUACUGUCUAGUAGUAGUUGAUUGGGAGAUGACCCUUUUAACUCAAGAAUAUCAAAGAUUGUUACUUUGGGUUUAUGCAUAAAGUUACCUA